GGUUUGGUUAGAGGUGUUUGACAUCUCUUGAUAAUCUCUGCAGAAAAGUAUUUGAAUGAAACCGUGGUUUCUCGUAUGCCAAAUAUGCAGAGUUAGAGAUUAGUCUCUAGCCAAGUCUAGGUCCAUAACCAUAAAGUCUGACUCUCGGGUCAGGCUUGAACCAUGGUCUCAAAUCAGGUAGGAAGACCCGCUGAACUUAA
Molecule: unclassified non-coding RNA, 200 nt
Filed under: soil metagenome
Description: partial contains internal transcribed spacer 2 and large subunit ribosomal RNA
Source: RNAcentral